UAGGGAAUUUUCGUCAAUGGGGGAAGCCCUGAACGAGCAAUGCCGCGUGUGUGAAGAAGGUCUUCGGAUCGUAAAGCACUGUUGUAAGUGAAGAAUGCCACAUAGAGGAAAUGCUAUGUGGGUGACGGUAGCUUACCAGAAAGCCACGGCUAACUACGUGCCAGCAGCCGCGGUAAUACGUAGGUGGCAAGCGUUAUCCGGAAUCAUUGGGCGUAAAGGGUGCGUAGGUGGCACGAUAAGUCUGAAGUAAAAGGCAACAGCUCAACUGUUGUAUGCUUUGGAAACUGUCGAGCUAGAGUGCAGAAGAGGGCGAUGGAAUUCCAUGUGUAGCGGUAAAAUGCGUAGAUAUAUGGAGGAACACCAGUGGCGAAGGCGGUCGCCUGGUCUGUAACUGACACUGAUGCACGAAAGCGUGGGGAGCAAAGCAGGAUUAGAUACCC
This 440-nucleotide ribosomal RNA is filed under the name uncultured bacterium. Its description in RNAcentral is "bacterial SSU rRNA". It matches the Rfam family "Bacterial small subunit ribosomal RNA", at positions 355 to 787 of the family's 1533-position model. The record is from RNAcentral.